GGAAACCACAUCUCCUUCCUCCCUCAUCUCACCUAACACGCCCCAACCCCGGGGCUGCACCACACCCCGAAUCCAAGACAAAAACUGAAACAGACUCCGAGGAAGAGACUCGGGUACAUUUCAAGGCACUAUGCACAAGGAACCUGAUUAAGGACUGGAGGCAGCGGCAUUGAGGCCAGUUUAGGUUUUCGACAACAGACUCACAGCUCUCCAGUGAGAAGCCUAAGUUUCUCGUGGAGCUCCCUCUCUGACACAGCUGCUCAGCGCAGAAUGCCUGCAAGAGGAAGUCUACAGGGGCCUUGACUUUCAAGUUCACUCUGCACAUUACCGAUUGCAACUCCCAAAGCCUUUUAUGUCAAGCGUCCUGAUGCAAUACGCUGACAUAGCUGGAAGUGGAGAAGUACAGAGUCAGACGGUGAGGCGCCUCCUGGUCACCAGAUCCCUCUUGGGUUUCUCUUGCCACAGUGGAUCCCUCCUGCCCUCCUUCCGCCCAGAGGCAAACGCUGCUAUUAGUUUCUCCUGCAUCUUUCCCAAAUUAUACUUAACUCUCCCCCUCCUCCUCCCCUUGCUGUCCUGACAAUACGUUUCAGAGAUCUUUUCCAAGAACUUAGAAAGCAUCUUGUGUGUGUAUGUGUGCUAGGUCGCUUCAGUCGUCUCCAACUCUGCAACUCUAUGGACUGUAGCCCUCCAGGCUCUUCUGUCCAUGGGAUUCUCCAGGCAAGAACAUUGAAGUAGGUUGUCAUGCCCUUCUCCUGGGGAUUUUCCCAAUUCAAGGAUCAAACCCAUGUCUCUUAAAUCUCCUUCAUUGGCAGGCAGGUUAUUUACCACUAGUGCCACCUGGGAAUCCCAGGAAGCAUCCUUAGUUAGUUAAUUAGUUAGUUUAGUCGCUCAGUCGUGUCUGACUCUUUGCAACCCCAUGGACCGCAGCACGCCAGGCCUCCCUGUCCAUCACCAACUCCCAGAAUUUACUCAAACUCAUGUCCAUUGAGUUGGUGAUGCCAUCCAACCAUCUCAUCCUCUUUUGUCCCCUUCUCCUCCCGCCUUCAAUCUUUCCCAGCAUCAGGGUCUUUUCCAAUGCGUCAGUUCUUCACAUCAGGUGGCCAAAGUAUUGGAGUUUCAGCUUCAGCAUCGGUCAUUCCAAUGAACACCCAGGACUGAUAUCCUUUAGGAUGGACUGGUUGGAUCUCCUUGCAGUCCAAGGGACUCUCAAGAGUCUUCUCUAACACCACAGUUCAAAAGCAUCAAUACUUCACCACUCAGCUUUCUUUAUAGUCCAACUCUCACAUCCAUCGGAGAAGGCAAUGGCAACCCAUUCCAGUGUUCUUGCCUGGCAAAUCCCAUGGACAGAGGAGCCUAAUGGGCUGCAGUCUAUGGGGUCGCGAAGAGUCGGGCAUGACUGAGUGACUUCACUUUCAGUUUUCACUUUCCUGCAUUGGAGAAGGAAAUGGCACCCGACUCCAGUGUUCUUGCCUGGAGAAACCCAGGGACGGGGGAGCCUGGUGGGCUGCCGUCUCUGGGGUCGCACAGAGUUGGACACAACUCAAGCGACUUAGCAGCAGCAGCAGCAGCACAUCCAUACACGACUACUGGAGAAACCAUAGCUUUGACUAGAUGGACCUUUGUUGGCGAAGUAAUGUCUCUGCUUUUUAAUAUGCUGUCUAGGUUGGUCAUAACUUUCCUUCCAAGGAGUAAGCAUCUUUUAAUUUCUGCAGUUACUAUCUGCAGUGAUUUUGGAGCCCCCAAAAAAUAAAGUCAGCCACUGUUUCCACUGUUCCCCCAUCUAUUUGCCAUGAAGUGAUGGGACCAGAUGCCAUGAUCUUAGUUUUCUGAAUGCUGAGCUUUAAGCCAACUUUUUCACUCUCCUCUUUCAUUUUCAUCAAGAGGCUCUUUAGUUCUUCUUCACUUUCUGCCAUCAGGGUUGUGUCAUCUGCAUACCUGAGGUUAUUGAUAUUUCUCCCGGCAAUCGUGAUUCCAGCUUGUGUUUCAUCCAGCUCAGCAUUUCUCAUGAUGUACUCUGCAUAUAAGUUAAAUAAGCUGGGUGACAAUAUACAGCCUUGACGUACUCCCUUCCCUAUUUGGAACCAGUCUGUUGUUCCAUGUCCGGUUCUAACUGUUGCUUCCUGACCUCCAUACAGGUUUCUCAAGAGGCAGGUCAGGUGGUCUGGUAUUCCCAUCUCUUUCAGAAUUUUCCACAGUUUAUUCUGAUCCACACAGUCAAAGGCUUUGGCAUAGUCAAUAAAGCAGAAAUAGAUGUUUUUCUGGAACUCUCUUGCUUUUUCAAUG
Dama dama (fallow deer) is the source of this 2283-nucleotide long non-coding RNA. RefSeq lists it as uncharacterized. The transcript has 3 exons. NCBI's taxonomy places the organism in Eukaryota, Metazoa, Chordata, Mammalia, Artiodactyla, Cervidae. The record is from RefSeq and is a predicted model, not a curated record.